AUCGUCCUCCUUUGGUCAGAAGGGUUCCACACAACCUCGAGGAGCACCACACGCGACGCUCCAAAGAGGGUGGUAUCGUCUCCACACACCUUGGUCGAUGCAAGCAUCACCUUGGCCUCGCUCUCGAUAUCAUUGAAGUCCACCAUCAAGGCCUGGCGGGUUUUAAGAGAGACAUUUCCACUCAUAUACAUGAGCUCAUUGCGUUUAGUCCAGUUGAACUCUUUCCUCUGUUGUUCCAUGAUCAAGUCCAAUGGUUCAAGAAACUGGCUAAACACAAGCAUCGCUCCUUUAAAGCUUCACUACUAG
This 306-nucleotide ribosomal RNA is filed under the name Triticum aestivum (bread wheat). RNAcentral describes it as "partial small subunit ribosomal RNA". Lineage: Eukaryota; Viridiplantae; Streptophyta; Magnoliopsida; Poales; Poaceae. The record is from RNAcentral.